CACAAACGACUCUCGGCAACGGAUAUCUCGGCUCACGCAUCGAUGAAGAACGUAGCAAAAUGCGAUACUUGGUGUGAAUUGCAGAAUCCCGUGAACCAUCGAGUUUUUGAACGCAAGUUGCGCCCGAAGCCUUUUGGCUGAGGGCACGUCUGCCUGGGCGUCACGC
RNAcentral lists this ribosomal RNA (166 nucleotides) under Otoglyphis pubescens. RNAcentral's name for it is "Aaronsohnia pubescens 5.8S ribosomal RNA". It matches the Rfam family "5.8S ribosomal RNA". From Rfam's summary of the family: 5.8S ribosomal RNA (5.8S rRNA) is a component of the large subunit of the eukaryotic ribosome. It is transcribed by RNA polymerase I as part of the 45S precursor that also contains 18S and 28S rRNA. Lineage: Eukaryota; Viridiplantae; Streptophyta; Magnoliopsida; Asterales; Asteraceae. The record is from RNAcentral.